Oncorhynchus keta (chum salmon) is the source of this 700-nucleotide long non-coding RNA. RefSeq lists it as uncharacterized. The record is from RefSeq and is a predicted model, not a curated record. The transcript has 3 exons. Lineage: Eukaryota; Metazoa; Chordata; Actinopteri; Salmoniformes; Salmonidae.
CUUUUCUUCUAUGUGUCGCAACUCCAUUUCCACUUUAUGUCCCCGUUAGGGAGGUGUAAUUUAUGCUGCAGGCUAAUUACAAAAUUGUGGUCCAAGUUCAACUCCUAGCCUAUAGGGUGUGGUAACAGGCCCUCUGUUAUUUGUUGUUGUACUCUGCAUGUGAAGUACUCUGCAUGUGAAGUAUCUGCACUGUAGCCUAUAGAAGAAGUAAGCCCUUGUUAAUAGGGGAACGCAAGCAGUUGAAGGGAACAAGUGACAGAGUCUAACCUGCUGUUGAACACAAACUCCCAGUCCUAUGAUGUUGCUCUGUGAAGAAGCUGCAUCCCAGCAAGUUGAAGGCCGGCAGCCACUAAGUAGAGGAAUGUUUUACAGCGUUUCAGCUUGCAGAGGUAUCACCACCCUUCCCAUGGCCACCUGGAUCCUGUCUAGGGAAGAAAACGAAGAAUGAUGUUAUUACAUGGCCUUCAAGAGCUACAUGACUGCUGAGGUGACAUAUCGGACCCCUUAGGAUUUGUGGCAUUCCUUGUGUAUUUGUUUCCCGUAUGUUCCACUUCGUUUCUCCUUUGUACUUGUGACACUAUUAGAGUUUUUUUACGCCUAUCUCUAUUAGGUGUGACUGGCAACUGCAGUGGGUUGAAUCCUACUAGUUCAGUGUUUCCCAACUCCAGGCAGGGGUAGAGUAGCCAUUUGUGUUGUAGCC